Molecule: ribosomal RNA, 506 nt
Filed under: uncultured Candidatus Saccharibacteria bacterium
Lineage: Bacteria; Candidatus Saccharimonadota
Description: bacterial SSU rRNA
Rfam family: Bacterial small subunit ribosomal RNA
Source: RNAcentral
CGGAAAGCCUGAUGGAGCAACGCCGCGUGGAGGAUGAAGGCCUUCGGGUUGUAAACUUCUUUUCUAUGCGAUGAAUAUGACAGUAACAUAGGAAUAAGGGUCUGCUAACUACGUGCCAGCAGCCGCGGUCAUACGUAGGACCCAAGCGUUAUCCGGAUUGACUGGGCGUAAAGAGUUGCGUAGGUGGUUUAUCAAGCGAAUAGUGAAAUCUUGUGGCUCAACCAUGAGGCUAUUAUUCGAACUGAUAAACUCGAGAAGAGGAGAGGCAUCUGGAAUUCUUAGUGUAGGGGUAAAAUCCGUAGAUACUAGGAGGAACACCAAUGGCGUAGGCAGGAUGCUGGACUCUUUCUGACACUAAGGCACGAAAGCGUGGGGAGCGAACCGGAUUAGAUACCCGGGUAGUCCACGCCGUAAACUAUGGAUGCUAGCUGUAAGAGGUAUCGACCCCUCUUGUAACGAAGCUAACGCGUUAAGCAUCCCGCCUGGGGAGUACGGUCGCAAGACUA